GAUGAACGCUGGCGGCGUGCCUAACACAUGCAAGUCGAACGGAACUAUUUUGGAAACUCCUUCGGGAGCGGAAUCUUUAGUUUAGUGGCGGACGGGUGAGUAACGCGUGAGCAAUCUGCCUUUAAGAGGGGGAUAACAGUCGGAAACGGCUGCUAAUACCGCAUAAAGCAUCAAAUUCGCAUGUUUUUGAUGCCAAAGGAGCAAUCCGCUUUUAGAUGAGCUCGCGUCUGAUUAGCUGGUUGGCGGGGUAACGGCCCACCAAGGCGACGAUCAGUAGCCGGACUGAGAGGUUGAACGGCCACAUUGGGACUGAGACACGGCCCAGACUCCUACGGGAGGCAGCAGUGGGGAAUAUUGCGCAAUGGGGGGAAACCCUGACGCAGCAACGCCGCGUGAUUGAAGAAGGCCUGGUUGUAAGAUCUUAAUCUAGGGACGAAACGAAAUAGACGGUACCU
This 455-nucleotide ribosomal RNA is filed under the name uncultured bacterium. RNAcentral's name for it is "bacterial SSU rRNA". It matches the Rfam family "Bacterial small subunit ribosomal RNA", at positions 28 to 480 of the family's 1533-position model. The record is from RNAcentral.